UAGUUUUGUCCCAAGUCAAAACUUCUUUAACUUUGACUAAGUUCAUAGAAAAAUGCACCAGUAUCGAAAAUAACAAAUAAAUGCACUGUCAUGGUGGUUUUAAUGAAACUAAUUUGAUAUUGUAGAUGUUGGUGCAUUUUUUCUAGGAAUUUGGUCAAAGUUAGAGAAUUUUGACUUGGGACAAAAUUAA
Molecule: microRNA precursor, 190 nt
Organism: Oryza sativa Japonica Group (Japanese rice)
Lineage: Eukaryota; Viridiplantae; Streptophyta; Magnoliopsida; Poales; Poaceae
Rfam family: MIR1435 microRNA precursor family
Source: Rfam